CAGAAAUGCCAGAAAUGAUGGUGAAGUUGAGUCCAAACAGCUAAAAUUGAAUAGCAGUCCAUUGGAUAUGUAUCAAGGCUGCAGUCUCUCUUCAGUACAUCUGAUGGUACAGAACAGAUCCAGAAGCUGGGAGUGGUGGCACUAUAAUCACAACUACCAAGGAGGCAGAGGCUGGAGGAUCAUAAGUUUGAAGGACAACUCAGUGCAACCCUGUCUCAAAAAAGUGAUGGGAUGUAGCUCAGUGGCAGAGUACCCCUGGGUUCAGUUGCCUAGCCCAGCAAAACACACUCAUACAUCCAUACGCAGAAUGCCUCUACCCAUCUUACCAAAACUCUCAGCAGCCACUGAUUGCUGUGCUGUCACCUACAAGGAUACACUCAGGCCUCUGAACAGAAAGGGUCUCCAGUUUCAAAAACUUAACUUACAUCUCCCCCAAAACUUUCCUUAGGAGGCUGUUUGAAAAAAAAGUACCUACACAUCAGUUUAUUUGAAACCAAUGCUUAGUACUGGUGAGCAAAGCUCAACUGUUACAUUGAUCUGAUCUCAAUGAAAACCCUACUCUCCCCAACCCAGGACCUCACACAUGCUAGGUAUGGUGUUCUACCACUGAGAAAUUUCCUUUUUUAAAAAUGACAAGAGUCCAGUCCCUUUUUGGCUGUAAAAUUUUAGGCAGAAAAUAACAGUAAGAAACAAAUGAUCAUUCAAUUCAAUGCUCAAACACAGUGCUGGUUCCUGAAAAAUUUGGAGGUGAUUUUUAGAAAAUGUCACAUAAUCUAUUACAUACCAGAGCCAGACCUAAACCUACCUCAUAAAAUCCAUGUUUCCAAAUAUAUCAUAGUUUUUAAAUGUUAUCUGGUCAGAAUGCUUAAUAAAUAAACUUUCAAUAAUGAUAAAAAAUGACAAUUUUUACAAUAUCUGCAGCUCAAUAAGUAGUUAUUAAAUAAAUUAAAGCCCAGACAUCAGAUUUUCAGUGUAGUGUUCAAGAAAUAAAACCAUCCAAGUGUGGAAG
Molecule: long non-coding RNA, 1009 nt
Filed under: Marmota monax (woodchuck)
Lineage: Eukaryota; Metazoa; Chordata; Mammalia; Rodentia; Sciuridae
Source: RNAcentral